RNAcentral lists this ribosomal RNA (1167 nucleotides) under Tettigometra sulphurea. RNAcentral's name for it is "bacterial SSU rRNA". It matches the Rfam family "Eukaryotic small subunit ribosomal RNA", at positions 575 to 1671 of the family's 1831-position model. Lineage: Eukaryota; Metazoa; Arthropoda; Insecta; Hemiptera; Tettigometridae. The record is from RNAcentral.
CGCGGUAAUUCCAGCUCCAAUAGCGUAUAUUAAAGUUGUUGCGGUUAAAAAGCUCGUAGUUGGAUCUGUGUCUCGCACCGUCGGUUCACCGCCUGUCGGUGUUUAACUGGCGUGUAUGCGGGACGUCCUGCCGGCGGCGGCACGGCGCUCCGUUAGUUAUAGGGGCGUCUUCGGGCGCUUCGAAGGCUUUCGGUGUCGCUGGCCGCCUUAUAUCCUGUCGCGGUGCUCUUCACUGAGUGUCGAGGCGGGCCGGCACGUUUACUUUGAACAAAUUAGAGUGCUUAAAGCAGGCCAGUGCUGCCUGCACCUUCUGUGCAUGGAAUAAUGGAAUAGGACCUCAGUUCUAUUUUGUUGGUUUUCGGAAUCUGAGGUAAUGAUCAAUGGGAACAGGCGGGGGCAUUCGUAUUGCGACGUUAGAGGUGAAAUUCUUGGAUCGUCGCAAGACGGACCUAAGCGAAAGCAUUUGCCAAGUAUGUUUCCGUCGAUCAAGAACGAAAGUUAGAGGUUCGAAGGCGAUCAGAUACCGCCCUAGUUCUAACCAUAAACUAUGCCUGCCAGCGAUCCGCCGAAGUUCCUCCGAUGACUCGGCGGGCAGCUUCCGGGAAACCAGAGCUUUUGGGUUCCGGGGGAAGUAUGGUUGCAAAGCUGAAACUUAAAGGAAUUGACGGAAGGGCACCACCAGGAGUGGAGCCUGCGGCUUAAUUUGACUCAACACGGGAAAACUCACCAGGCCCGGACACCGGAAGGAUUGACAGAUUGAGAGCUCUUUCUUGAUUCGGUGGGUGGUGGUGCAUGGCCGUUCUUAGUUGGUGGAGAACGAUUUGUCUGGUUAAUUCCGAUAACGAACGAGACUCUAGCCUACUAAAUAGUCGUACCCGGUAUCCAAUCGUGCUACCGGCGAUAAAAUUUCUUCUUAGAGGGACAGCGGCUUCUAGCCGCACGAGACUGAGCAAUAACAGGUCUGUGAUGCCCUUAGAUGUCCUGGGCCGCACGCGCGCUACACUGAAGAAAUCAGCGUGUCUUCCCUGUCCGAAAGGACCGGGUAACCCGCUGAACCUUCUUUGUGCUAGGGAUUGGGGAUUGGAAUUGUUCCCCAUGAACGAGGAAUUCCCAGUAAGCGCGAGUCAUAAGCUCGCGUUGAUACCGCCCUGCCCUUUGUACACACCG